Molecule: long non-coding RNA, 956 nt
Organism: Marmota monax (woodchuck)
Lineage: Eukaryota; Metazoa; Chordata; Mammalia; Rodentia; Sciuridae
Exons: 3
Source: RefSeq, a predicted model, not a curated record
GUUAGUGUUGCAAUGGUUACCCUCAUGAUAUAACCGACUUUAGAUUCUAAUGUAACCUUGUAUUUAGGAUGAGGGCUGUUUUGCUACAGCUUUUACUUCACUGUCUCCUAAAGAAGACACUAUUCCAUCUCCACAGUUUAUGGCUUUUUUUCCCCGUGGACAGAGGAGAAGUUACUAUACUACUAAGAAACUUUCCCAAGAGCCUUCUGUCUUCGUUGUGAAUGCCUGAGUGAUUCCCUGGGAGAUGCUCCUGAGUUCAAGGGCUGCAGGUUUGGAGAUGCUGCCAAAUUCCCCUCCGCAGCAUCUAGGGAUCCUAUCAACACACCACUAUUUAUGGAAGUGGAUCCAUCCUGCAGUUGCCAGCUACAAAAGUUCCUGAGCAAGAAGGAAACUGUCUCAGAGAAGGCAGAACAGCGGCUGUCCUGGGGAAAGACUCCAGCUGAUAAUGGGCUCCAAAUGUCUUGGCACCAGCAAGGAUUUUGUUUGAAAAUGUGUCCUUGUGUUUAUGACUGUUCAGUUUGUGCUUGGGUGUACUCAUUUCACACCCCCUCCUCCUAAUCUCAGACACAAUGUCUAUCAGGAAUGUCUAUCAGGAAAUGCCUGCCAGUGUCCAUAGUAGCUUCAGAAAACAACAACAACAAAAACCCACCAUUGAUCGACUACAAUGCCUUCAUUUGUUUUUUGUAUUUUAAAUUUCUUGGUGGUUUUCAUUUACUUUGUAAAGAGGUAUUGAUUUAAGAACAGUAUGCAGUGUGUUGAUCCAGGCUGAGGAUGCAGAGGCACAUGUAUCUUCUUUUACAUGCUAUAGCAGGCACAGGCCAAGGGUCUGACCCACUCAGCCACCUAAUGGUGGGCUUCCCAUCACCUCUGUUGAGAACCAUCACCUGCCUCUGAGGGUAGCCAGGGGCAGUUAAUGAUCACAUCUGGUAUCAAUAAACACCUUCCAGCUCCCUGGA